UGAAUACGAGAUGCUACGGCGUCGAAGCAGUCUAUGUCAUACUUCCAAGAAAAGCUUGCACUGUCAUAAACAAAUAAUGCCUGUACCAUAACCGACACAGGUGGGUAGGUAGAGUAUACUAAGGGGCGCGAGAUAACUCUCUCUAAGGAACUCGGCAAAAUGACUCCGUAACUUCGGGAGAAGGAGUGCCUUAUUUAUAAGGUUGCAAUAACAAGAUCCAAGCAACUGUUUACCAAAAACACAGGUCUCCGCUAAGUCGUAAGACGAUGUAUGGGGGCUGACGCCUGCCCAGUGCCAGAAGGUUAAAGAAGUUGGUUAGCAUCCGCGAAGCUGAUAACUGAAGCCCUGGUGAACGGCGGCCGUAACAAUAACGGUCCUAAGGUAGCGAAAUUCCUUGUCGGGUAAGUUCCGACCCGCACGAAAGGCGUAAUGAUUUGGAUACUGUCUCGGAGAGGGGCUCGGUGAAAUAGACUUGUCUGUGAAGAUGCGGACUACCUGCACCAGGACAGAAAGACCCUAUGAAGCUUUACUGUAACCUGAAAUUGAAAUUGGACUUUACUUGCGCAGUAUAGGUGGGAGGCGUUGAGAAUAUUCUUGCGGGAUUAUUGGAGCCAUCAGUGAGAUACCACUCUUGUAAUGUUAGAUUUCUAACUUUGUAUCAUUAUCUGGUCAAAGAACAGUUUCAGGCGGGCAGUUUGACUGGGGCGGUCGCCUCCUAAACGGUAACGGAGGCGCACAAAGGUUUCCUCUGAACGGGUAGAAAUCGUAUCUAGAGUGUAAAGGCAUAAGGAAGCUUGACUGUGAGACCUACAAGUCGAGCAGGGACGAAAGUCGGUCUUAGUGAUCUGACGGUGCUGAGUGGAAAGGCCGUCACUCAACGGAUAAAAGUUACUCUAAGGAUAACAGGCUGAUCUCCCCCAAGAGUUCACAUCGACGGGGAGGUUUGGCACCUCGAUGUCGGCUCAUCGCAUCCUGGGGCGGUAGUACGUCCCAAGGGUUGGGCUGUUCGCCCAUGAAAGCGGUACGCGAGCUGGGUUCAGAACGUCGUGAGACAGUUCGGUCCAUAUCCGGUGUAGGCGUUAGAAUAUUGAGAGGAGCCUUCUUUAGUACGAGAGGACCGAGAAGGACAUACCUCUGGUGUACCAGUUAUCGUGCCAACGGUAAACGCUGGGUAGCUAUGUGUGGAGUGGAUAACCGCUGAAAGCAUCUAAGUGGGAAGCCCACCUCAAGGUAAGUA
This 1237-nucleotide ribosomal RNA is filed under the name metagenome. RNAcentral's name for it is "bacterial LSU rRNA". It matches the Rfam family "Bacterial large subunit ribosomal RNA", at positions 1564 to 2810 of the family's 2925-position model. The record is from RNAcentral.